UGGGCGGUUCGCCGCCGACGACGUCGCGAGAAGUCCAUUGAACCUUAUCAUUUAGAGGAAGGAGAAGUCGUAACAAGGUUUCCGUAGGUGAACCUGCGGAAGGAUCAUUG
Molecule: ribosomal RNA, 110 nt
Filed under: Thalictrum arkansanum
Lineage: Eukaryota; Viridiplantae; Streptophyta; Magnoliopsida; Ranunculales; Ranunculaceae
Description: partial 18S ribosomal RNA
Rfam family: Eukaryotic small subunit ribosomal RNA
Source: RNAcentral